ACUCUUCAACCCGCCCUUUUUCUAGCGAUAAGGUGUCGGUGCUUGGAUUUUGAGCCCUGCUAUUGAUUUAGCUGGUUCGUAAUGCAUCAGCAUUUCAAAUUUCGUAAUCGGAUUGACUUGGCGUAAUAGACUAUUCGCCAAGGACACUUCACAGUGGCCGAGAUGAGAAAUAUAGAAGAGCUUCCAAUUCCUCUAGUCAUCUUUAAG
This 207-nucleotide unclassified non-coding RNA is filed under the name uncultured Microbotryomycetes. Its description in RNAcentral is "sequence contains ITS2". The record is from RNAcentral. Lineage: Eukaryota; Fungi; Basidiomycota; Microbotryomycetes.